This is a long non-coding RNA of Monomorium pharaonis (pharaoh ant), 294 nucleotides long. RefSeq lists it as uncharacterized. NCBI's taxonomy places the organism in Eukaryota, Metazoa, Arthropoda, Insecta, Hymenoptera, Formicidae. The transcript is spliced from 2 exons. The record is from RefSeq and is a predicted model, not a curated record.
GUUUCUAUCAUAUAAAUUUUGAAAUCCUUCUCGGUCGGUAUCGCUUUUAGAUUUUGUGCAUCGCCAAGCGCUGUUGUUAUAUCAAAACAAGAUACCUACAAAUCGCAAUAUUAAUUGAAAUAAAAUAUUGAUAAUAAAUGUUGUUGAGAGAAAUAAAUAUUUGGCUGAUUAAUCAUUAGGUAAAGUAAUGGCUGUUUUACAUUGUCAUUAUCAUCUUCAUAGUCAGUUUUGUGUACAUCCUGGAAAUAAAAUUUAUAUUUUAAGAAUAAUAUUAAAAUAUUACAAAUAAAUUAA